GACGAACGCUGGCGGCGUGCUUAACACAUGCAAGUCGAGCGGUAAGGCCCUUUCGGGGGUACGACGAGCGGCGAACGGGUGAGUAACACGUGGGUGACCUGCCCUCAGCUCUGGGAGUAAGCCCGGGAAACUAGGGUCUAAUACCGGAUAUGACUCCAUGACGCAUGUUGUGGGGUGGAAAGCCUUGUGCGGCUGAGGAUGGGCCCGCGGCCUAUCAGCUUGUUGGUGGGGUGAUGGCCUACCAAGGCGACGACGGGUAGCCGGCCUGAGAGGGCGACCGGCCACACUGGGACUGAGACACGGCCCAGACUCCUACGGGAGGCAGCAGUGGGGAAUCUUGCGCAAUGGGCGAAAGCCUGACGCAGCGACGCCGCGUGAGGGAUGACGGCCU
RNAcentral lists this ribosomal RNA (391 nucleotides) under uncultured bacterium. Its description in RNAcentral is "bacterial SSU rRNA". It matches the Rfam family "Bacterial small subunit ribosomal RNA", at positions 28 to 417 of the family's 1533-position model. The record is from RNAcentral.